RNAcentral lists this long non-coding RNA (2016 nucleotides) under Mus musculus (house mouse). Its description in RNAcentral is "long non-coding RNA chr18:40416674-40418690". Lineage: Eukaryota; Metazoa; Chordata; Mammalia; Rodentia; Muridae. The record is from RNAcentral.
GGAUAAAAGACAAUCAUGUCCAAUACUUAGAGAUUUCCACUGCAAUGAAACCUAAGAGGCUGGGAGAUUUUAUUGUUUGAGACAUGGGUGAGAGAAGGUGAUCAAAUUGCGAAUGUGUGUGGAUUCUAGGCGAUGUGAAACUGUGAGAAUCCUUCUGGGACCAAGAGAAGAGUUGGUGAUGCCAGCUGGUGGCCCUCCCAUGGCCACCUGAGAUUCCCACUCUCUUCUGCUUACUCUUCUGAAUUUGGGGCAUUGUGGCAAAUUCCUCUGAGUGUCUUUUCAAACUUGUAGUUCAAUUGAUUUUUGAUUUCUGUGGUGGAAAAAUUAAGCAAAUUGAGUGCGGCCCCUACAGAGCACUCUAUCAUAGAAGCUAAAACUUACAAUAAAGCAAUUUGACUGUGCCCUGUUUCUGAAAUAUUUUCAUUUGCUUCAGUGACAGUGCUAGCUAUGAUUUCAGAUCAAAGAGGAGUAUAAAUUUAUUUUUUUUUAGUUAUUUUCAUAUAUAAAAAUGUGACCCGUGAUUUAUGGAAACAACUCGUCUGACUUGGUGCUAACAGGUUUUUGAUCCUCUUCUUCCAGCCAUGUGUUUUUAACCUUCAAAUACCCACUGCUCACCGAUACUAACACUCACUUCAGAAGCCAGUCAUCUGCCUACUUAGGAGUACUGAAUCAGCCAGUAAUUCACUUUUAAUUAGACUUUUCUCAUUAUAUUCGGCUUCUAAAGGCAACAUGCUUUUUAGGUUGCACAAACUUAGGUAACUAAAUGGAAACAGGCCAGGUGGAAUCUUAAUUAGAUAUAAGCCAGGUCUAAUGUCUAGUAUUUGUCUGCCUCACCCAUAGGAAGCCAAGGACCUGAUGGUAUCCACAAAAGGUCCCAUCAGAUCAGAGCAUUCUAAAAGAAAAUCUGCUGAGCCCAACAUUCUUAGAAGCCACUCUGCACAAUGACUGAUCUGCCCUGAACUGCUGGUUAUUAGCCAUUUGUCUCCUGGUUCGAGAACACAGGGGAGCAAUGAAUGUAAUUUCCAAGUACUUUUCUAAUAGCUUUCCAGGCAAAUCAGUGGAAUUGGAACACAUAAAGUGGGGAGGAUGCAAUGAAUAGUGUGAUGGUUUGUAUAUGCUUGGUCCAGGGAGUGGCACUAUUAGGAGUUGUGGCCUUGUUGUAGUAGGUGUGGCCUUCUUGGAGGUGUGUCACUGUGGGUAUGGGCUUUCAGACCCUCAUCCUAGCUGGCUGGAAGCCAGUCUUCUCCUAGUAGCCUUCAGAAGAAGUGGAAGGAGUUACAGAGACGGAGUUUGGAGCUGAGAUGAAAGGAUGGACCAUGUAGAGACUGCCAUAGCCAGGGAUCCACCCCAUAAUCAGCAUCCAAACACUGACACCAUUGCAUACACUAGCAAGAUUUUAUUGAAAGGACGCAGAUGUAGCUGUCUCUUGUGAGACUAUGCCGGGGCCCAGCAAACACAGAAGUGGAUGCUCACAGUCAGCUAAUGGAUGGAUCAUAGGGCUCCCAAUGGAGGAGCUAGAGAAAGUAGCCAAGGAGCUAAAGGGAUCUGCAACCCUAUAGGUGGAACAACAUUAUGAGCUAACCAGUACCCCGGAGCUCUUGACUCUAGCUGCAUAUAUAUCAAAAGAUGGCCUAGUCGGCCAUCACUGGAAAGAGAGGCCCAUUGGACUUGCAAACUUUAUAUGCCCCAGUACAGGGGAAUACCAGGGCCAAAAAGGGGGAGUGGGUGGGCAGGGGAGUGGGGGUGGGUGGAUAUGGGGGACUUUUGGUAUAGCAUUGGAAAUGUAAAUGAGUUAAAUACCUAAUAAAAAUGGAAAAAAAAAUCACUGAAGUCUAACAAAGGGGUGGGGACAGGGAGCGUCUAAAUUCCAGCACUCUCCCCACAGAGAGAGGGUGGAAAAACCCAGGCUUUCCUGCCUGGAUGUCAUCAGAUCUUGGCCUCCCAAGAGCAAGAAAUCAGUGGAAAUGUAUAUAUAUUUUAAUACGCCCUCAUUACAAAUAAAAAUGGUUUUACAUC